GACGAACGCUGGCGGCGUGCUUAACACAUGCAAGUCGAACGGUAAGGCCCUUCGGGGUACACGAGUGGCGAACGGGUGAGUAACACGUGGGUGAUCUGCCCUGCACUUCGGGAUAAGCCUGGGAAACUGGGUCUAAUACCGGAUAGGACCACUGCCUGCAUGGGUGGUGGUGGAAAGCUUUUGCGGUGUGGGAUGGGCCCGCGGCCUAUCAGCUUGUUGGUGGGGUGAUGGCCUACCAAGGCGACGACGGGUAGCCGGCCUGAGAGGGUGACCGGCCACACUGGGACUGAGAUACGGCCAAGACUCCUACGGGAGGCAGCAGUGGGGAAUAUUGCACAAUGGGCGCAAGCCUGAUGCAGCGACGCCGCGUGAGGGAUGACGGUCUUCGGGUUGUAAACCUCUUUCAGCACCGACGAAGCGCAAGUGACGGUAGGUGCAGAAGAAGGACCGGCCAACUACGUGCCAGCAGCCGCGGUAA
RNAcentral lists this ribosomal RNA (478 nucleotides) under uncultured bacterium. RNAcentral's name for it is "partial 16S ribosomal RNA". It matches the Rfam family "Bacterial small subunit ribosomal RNA", at positions 28 to 523 of the family's 1533-position model. The record is from RNAcentral.